AUGGCUGUCGUCAGCUCGUGUCGUGAGAUGUUGGGUUAAGUCCCGCAACGAGCGCAACCCUUGCCAUUAAUUGCCAUCAUUUAGUUGGGCACUUUAAUGGGACUGCCGGUGACAAACCGGAGGAAGGUGGGGAUGACGUCAAGUCCUCAUGGCCCUUAUGGCCAGGGCUUCACACGUAAUACAAUGGUCGGUACAGAGGGAAGCCAACCCGCGAGGGGGAGCCAAUCUCAGAAAGCCGGUCGUAGUCCGGAUUGUUGUCUGCAACUCGACAGCAUGAAGUCGGAAUCGCUAGUAAUCGCGGAUCAGCAUGUCGCGGUGAAUACGUUCCCGGGCCUUGUACACACCGCCCGUCACACCAUGGGAGUGGGUUUUACCAGAAGUAGUUAGUCUAUCCGCAAGGGGGACGAUUACCACGGUAGGAUUCAUGACUGGGGUGAAGUCGUAACAAGGUAGCCGUAUCGGAAGGUGCGGCUGGAUCACCUCCUUUCUAGAGAAUAAAUCUCUCUAUAAGCAUUCACACUUAUCAGUUGUUGGUAGCACAAAGAAUUUAAGUAAUUGGCCCUGUUUAGGGUCUGUAGCUCAGCUGGUUAGAGCACCGUGUUGAUAACGCGGGGGUCGUUGGUUCGAGCCCAACCAGACCCACCAGUUUUAAUUAAUAUGUAACUUAAAAUGGGGGAUUAGCUCAGCUGGGAGAGCACCUGCUUUGCAAGCAGGGGGUCAUCGGUUCGAUCCCGUUAUCCUCCACCAAUUCUUUGUAUAAAAAAGGUAAGCCUUAAGCGUUUAUUAAAUUAAAUGUUUAAGGCUAGCUUUUUAGCUAGUAUGUUCUUUAACAAUAUGGAAGAAGUAAAUUAGAAAUCAUAAGAUUGUGAUGAGAUUAUGAUUUCAAAUGGGUAAUGAUUGCAAAAUCAAAUACUAAAUCAACACUUUGCAUCUAAAUUUUAUAUUUAGAUAAAAAGAGUUUUUAAAGUAAGCUUUAGAAGAAACUAUAAUGACCGUCUCAUGCGGGAAAACGUAAGUAGAAAAGGGCUUAGGUUUUAAAGUUAUAGGAUCAAGUGAAUAAGUGCAUAUGGUGAAUGCCUUGGCGAUUACAGGCGAUGAAGGACGUGGUAGUCUGCGAAAUUUUUCGGGGAGCUGGCAAACAAGCUUUGAUCCGGAAGUGUCCGAAUGGGGAAACCCGG
Molecule: small RNA, 1178 nt
Filed under: uncultured bacterium
Lineage: Bacteria
Description: bacterial SSU rRNA
Rfam family: Bacterial small subunit ribosomal RNA (bases 1-487)
Source: RNAcentral